Molecule: ribosomal RNA, 468 nt
Filed under: uncultured bacterium
Lineage: Bacteria
Description: bacterial SSU rRNA
Rfam family: Bacterial small subunit ribosomal RNA
Source: RNAcentral
GACGAACGCUGGCGGCGUGCCUAACACGUGCAAGUCGAACGGAACUGUUUUGAAAGAUUUCUUCGGAAUGAAUUUGAUUUAGUUUAGUGGCGGACGGGUGAGUAACGCGUGAGUAACCUGCCUUCAAGAGGGGGAUAACAUUCUGAAAAGAAUGCUAAUACCGCAUGAUAUAUCGGAACCACAUGGUUUUGAUAUCAAAGAUUUUAUCGCUUGAAGAUGGACUCGCGUCCGAUUAGUUAGUUGGUGAGGUAACGGCUCACCAAGACCGCGAUCGGUAGCCGGACUGAGAGGUUGAACGGCCACAUUGGGACUGAGACACGGCCCAGACUCCUACGGGAGGCAGCAGUGGGGGAUAUUGCGCAAUGGGGGCAACCCUGACGCAGCAACGCCGCGUGAAGGAUGAAGGUUUUCGGAUUGUAAACUUCUUUUAUUAAGGACGAAACUUGACGGUACUUAAUGAAUAAGCUC